This 393-nucleotide ribosomal RNA is filed under the name uncultured bacterium. RNAcentral's name for it is "partial 16S ribosomal RNA". It matches the Rfam family "Bacterial small subunit ribosomal RNA", at positions 523 to 918 of the family's 1533-position model. The record is from RNAcentral.
AUACGGAGGAUCCGAGCGUUAUCCGGAUUUAUUGGGUUUAAAGGGAGCGUAGGUGGACAGUUAAGUCAGUUGUGAAAGUUUGCGGCUCAACCGUAAAAUUGCAGUUGAUACUGGCUGUCUUGAGUACAGUAGAGGUGGGCGGAAUUCGUGGUGUAGCGGUGAAAUGCUUAGAUAUAAGGAAGAACUCCGAUUGCGAAGGCAGCUCACUGGACAGCAACGGACACUGAUGCUCGAAAGUGUGGGUAACAAACAGGAUUAGAUACCCUGUUAGUCCACACAGUAAACGAUGAAAGCUCGCUGUUUGCUAUAUACAGUAAGCGGCCAAGCGAAAGCAUUAAGUAUUCCGCCUGGGGAGUACGCCGGCAACGGUGAAACUCAAAGGAAUUGACGGGG